GCAGGGCAAAGUGGUGCAUACCUGUAAUCCCAGUGACUAAGGAGGUUGAGGCAGGAGGAUCACUAGUUUGAGGACAGCCUCAGUGAUUUAGUGAGACUCUUAGGCUCUAAGCAACUUAGUGAGACCCUAUCUCAA
This 135-nucleotide small RNA is filed under the name Marmota monax (woodchuck). The record is from RNAcentral. Lineage: Eukaryota; Metazoa; Chordata; Mammalia; Rodentia; Sciuridae.